Long non-coding RNA from Callithrix jacchus (white-tufted-ear marmoset), 1054 nucleotides. RefSeq lists it as uncharacterized. The record is from RefSeq and is a predicted model, not a curated record. NCBI's taxonomy places the organism in Eukaryota, Metazoa, Chordata, Mammalia, Primates, Cebidae.
UCGGGGGCUCACCAUAGAGAGGGCCGCCUAGAAGCCCUUGCAUCCGGGCUCUCCGCCUGCGGAGACUUGACUCCUCCACGAGGCGGGAGGACGGAAGGAACGGAGACCCCCCAUCCCCCGACCCCACAGGGAGCCGCCAUCUCCCCAGAGCUGAAAAGGAGACCUGGAAACAGGAUGGCACAGAAGACACGUACAAGCCAGUGCAAUUAAAAGAGAAAGCACAUUAAUUAGAAAGAAGUUCGGAGACAGAAGUCAAACAGAAGGAAGACGAGCCAAGAUGGCUUCUGCCCUGACCUUGACAUCUACGACCCUUGCUCUGACCCCGCAGGUCCAGGCCUCACUGUCCACUGCACCAGGAUACACACCUGUCCCCAGAUACCGGCAACACCUCUGUCCCGGCCAGGCUGCCACUGGUAACCACAGCUCCCAGAAGGCUGGGGCUGGACCUGUCCAGGCCCCGUGGCCUGCUGCCCUCCUCCCAGCCCCAGCCUGCUGUUGACCUUUAAGCAGACCUUGGCAGUGGAAAUUUCAGGGCCCCAGAGGGGACCCCCAAAGUGAAACUCAAGCCCAGAAAUGGAUUUUCUUCUUCUCCAAGAGCAAAAGAAGUUGAAUAAAAAAUUAGUUACUAUUUUUACUGCCGGGAUCCAGUUGUUAUGGCAACCAAGGGCCUGACUCCUGCUCAGGAGGAGGUGGGGUUGGAGUGGGAUGAGGAAUCAGGCAGGGAUGGGGCUGGGGCAGGCAGCAGCUGGGGACAGGCCUAGGGCAGGCAGCAGGUCCGCCCCUCCAGAAAGGAGUGUCCCCCCACCCCCCUCACCUGAUAGAGCUCACCUGACUGAGUUCCUAAUGACUCUGUCUCCCUUCAGCCACACUGGCCUCCUGCCACCUCUGUGGGCUCCAGCUUGGCCCAGCCUGGUCACCUAAGACUCUCUCCACUACCUCUGAGAGUGGGUGGCCGUGCCGUCUCCAGGUGGAAACCGAGGCCCCUGUCUCAGGGGCAACUCACACUGAGUACAUCAGCCCCAUCAACCUCACCUAGCCAAAACUCUCCCUUCAG